GAUGAACGCUGGCGGCGUGCCUAAUACAUGCAAGUCGAGCGAACGGACGAGAAGCUUGCUUCUCUGAUGUUAGCGGCGGACGGGUGAGUAACACGUGGAUAACCUACCUAUAAGACUGGGAUAACUUCGGGAAACCGGAGCUAAUACCGGAUAAUAUUUUGAACCGCAUGGUUCAAAAGUGAAAGACGGUCUUGCUGUCACUUAUAGAUGGAUCCGCGCUGCAUUAGCUAGUUGGUAAGGUAACGGCUUACCAAGGCAACGAUGCAUAGCCGACCUGAGAGGGUGAUCGGCCACACUGGAACUGAGACACGGUCCAGACUCCUACGGGAGGCAGCAGUAGGGAGUCUUCCGCAAUGGGCGAAAGCCUGACGGAGCAACGCCGCGGGAGUGAUGAAGGUCUUCGGAUCGUAAAACUCUGUUAUUAGGGAAGAACAUAUGUGUAAGUAACUGUGCACAUCUUGACGGUACCUAAUCAGAAAGCCACGGCUAACUACGU
RNAcentral lists this ribosomal RNA (496 nucleotides) under uncultured bacterium. RNAcentral describes it as "partial 16S ribosomal RNA". It matches the Rfam family "Bacterial small subunit ribosomal RNA", at positions 28 to 506 of the family's 1533-position model. The record is from RNAcentral.